UUCGCGGUUGAUGGCGACGUCGAGCACCUUGUCGAGGCGCGCCUGCAUGCCGAUGAAGGAGGCCGCGUUCUGCUCGUGGCUGCGCUUCCA
RNAcentral lists this transfer RNA (90 nucleotides) under Paradevosia tibetensis. Its description in RNAcentral is "Youhaiella tibetensis tRNA-Asp". The record is from RNAcentral. Lineage: Bacteria; Pseudomonadati; Pseudomonadota; Alphaproteobacteria; Hyphomicrobiales; Devosiaceae.